CGAGUUUGAUCCUGGCUCAGAACGAACGCUGGCGGCAUGCCUAACACAUGCAAGUCGAACGAAGGCUUCGGCCUUAGUGGCGCACGGGUGCGUAACGCGUGGGAAUCUGCCCUUGGGUUCAGAAUAACUCAGAGAAAUUUGAGCUAAUACCGGAUGAUGACGUAAGUCCAAAGAUUUAUCGCCCAAGGAUGAGCCCGCGUAAGAUUAGCUAGUUGGUGGGGUAAAGGCCUACCAAGGCGACGAUCUUUAGCUGGUCUGAGAGGAUGAUCAGCCACACUGGGACUGAGACACGGCCCAGACUCCUACGGGAGGCAGCAGUGGGGAAUAUUGGACAAUGGGCGAAAGCCUGAUCCAGCAAUGCCGCGUGAGUGAUGAAGGCCUUAGGGUUGUAAAGCUCUUUUACCAGGGAUGAUAAUGACAGUACCUGGAGAAUAAGCCUCGGCUAACUACGUG
RNAcentral lists this ribosomal RNA (453 nucleotides) under uncultured bacterium. RNAcentral's name for it is "bacterial SSU rRNA". It matches the Rfam family "Bacterial small subunit ribosomal RNA", at positions 9 to 507 of the family's 1533-position model. The record is from RNAcentral.